CCUCCAUGAAGAAACCCUAGCCGUCUCUCUGUGAAGCAACCCUAUGUAUCUUCAUCCCCAAUUGCGAUUGUAAGCAACAUGGUUUCUGCAUCUUCAAUCUUACAUCUCCCUCUCAUUCGUCUCAAAAUUGAAUCCCUUCACCAAGGUUCCACUCUGAUUGAUGUUGCAGCUGUUUGUUGCCAUUGCUGGUGAUUCACAACCGUCGUUGCCGCUCUUCUGGUGUUUAAUGGUGGUAUUAAUGUGGAUUUUGUGUUAUUAGUUUGUUCGAUUUGAUUCUGUUACCCUUGAUUAAUCUAGGGUUUUCGAGAUUUGUGAUCAUUAUCUUAUUUUACUGUAAAUUCGUUUAUUAUUAAUUCCAUACAAUUUAACAUAUUUGUUCGUUAUAUAUAUAGUUAUUAAAGAAAUAUAGGUAUCAUUGUGUUUUAGAUCAAUAGGUAUGAUUGUGUUAAAAAAAUGUCGUUUUAGAUUAUAUUGUGUAUAGAU
Molecule: long non-coding RNA, 483 nt
Organism: Helianthus annuus (common sunflower)
Lineage: Eukaryota; Viridiplantae; Streptophyta; Magnoliopsida; Asterales; Asteraceae
Exons: 3
Source: RefSeq, a predicted model, not a curated record